GAAAAAAACAAUAGAUGAACAGUUAAAUGCAGUAACCGUUCCAAUGACUCAAAAUAGCGUGUGCCUGGAGCUGAAGUCUCCAUGAAUUGCUACUGCUUUGAUUUUCUACUAUCUCAGAGAGUUGUUAAAUGUCAGAGAUUUAAGUCCCCAUAUGUGCGUCCUCAGAUAUUAAGGACAGAGGUUCGAGGGACCUGAAGCUUGAACAACUUGUGUAGAUUUAAAGAAAACAAAUGCAAACCUAGGUACCGAGCCUCGGCAGAAGCGAGCGAGCGACCUUGAGACUUGCCCUUGGCUGGCAUCCCCGGAACCUACAUCUGAUCAAGCAACGUGGAAAGACAGGGGACUGGUGAACGCAGCCGCCGCCUCCACGUCAGCCUUCCUGAUGGCCACGCGUGCGUGGCGACUAGUCUAAGUCAAAACCAGCCUUUCCGGCCUCUGCGUGUCACCCGCACUUGGUCUGGGGUUCCAGAGAUGAGCUGCUCUUCUCUCCUUUUUGGGGUGGACUAGCAUCCUGUGGCGGCUGGAAACUUACCCCCAGAAUGGAUGCAGGGGGAAAAAAGACUGAUGAAACCUUCAGGUAAAAUGUCAAGGUCAAUUCAGCCACUAACAUUUUCCCCUGCGUCCCGGCAGGGGUGCUGCGGCUGCCCCCAAAGCUGUGCAGCUUCUCCAGGAAACAGCUGUGGUCAAAUCACGCCCUCGUGUGCUCAUCCUCGCCCCUCUGCUAAACCUGUCUGUGCCCACGUCCCUCUUGAGCGCGGAGACUGGAUCUUACUUGGCUAUUUAGCCUCAGGGCCUGACGCAUCUUGACACACAGGAGACCAACAAAAUCCACGU
Molecule: long non-coding RNA, 834 nt
Filed under: Dasypus novemcinctus (nine-banded armadillo)
Lineage: Eukaryota; Metazoa; Chordata; Mammalia; Cingulata; Dasypodidae
Description: lncRNA (ENSDNOG00000052230.1)
Source: RNAcentral